UGCUUUUUCUCUUUAAAAUUUUAUCUUGAUUCCACUUCUCCAGACUCCUAUGGAAAUAAAUCAUACAGCUCAAAAUUCGUCAGAGCAGCUAUUGGAAGAACUUUUAGGUCUUAAAUAACGAAUGUUUGAUGUCUAUACAUAUUUGGUGGAACAUUAUUAUACUGCCAUUCUAAAACCAGAAGAAUUUGUGUCAGUAUGUUUUACAUGAGAUUGCCAUUAAACAUCAUCUGUUAUUAGGGAAAAAGGCUGACAGUAAUGAGUAAUCCAAGAACGAAGAAUUAUCUGAAUUGGAGGAGAUUUAGUUGAAAAUGAGCAUUUGUUUUAUAUUGCUUCAAAAUAGAUUCCCGAUGAGCUCAUUCCGUGAUUUUGCACUUUAUCAGUACUUAGGGUAAAAGAUGUCUGGGGAAUGUGAAAAUAAUUAAAAUCUGCCGAUAACAAGGAGCCAGAGAGUUAUAGUUUGCACAAGAUAUGGAAAUACAGUCUGAAGGCAGUGAAAUGGAAUCAUGGUGGAUAGACAUUGGCUGGCUGCCACACUCCCGCCCAGCUGCUCUCUUUCUCCCUCUCCUCAGCAGGACAGGGAGAGAAAAUAAGAUGAAAAGCUCAUGGAUCAAGGUAAAGACAGGAAGAUCACCCAUCAGUUACCAUCAAGGGCAAAACAGACUUGACCCAGAGAGAGCAAAUUUAAUGUAUUGCCAACUAGAUAGAACUGGGCAGUAAAACUCAAAGACAAAAAUUAAAACAUCUUCCUCCCAGCUUCUCCUUCUAGGCUCAGAUUAACUCAUUUGGUUCAGACUACUUUACCUCCUUACCUACAGCAGUGCUAGGCAGGUGAGGAAUGUUGGUUUACGCAGGUACAUUAGCCAGGAAAAAAAAAAGCAAAGAAGAGCAUACCCCCUCUGAGAACUAAGAAGGAAGAACUGACAACAGUCUGAACUACUCAGCAAGUUUUUCCUCAGCCUUCACUGGCAGUCAGGAUUUUCAUGUCUAUCAAGUCCCUGAACUUCUAGUUGGGGGCUGAGGGAGUAGAAUCUGUGCAGCAAAGAGCAGGUUAGGGACCACCUGAUCAGACUGGGAGCUACCCAGAUGUCAGCUAGGAAAGAAACAUGGUGGACUUCAAGAAAUCCAGGAGAGUCCUGGAGUCUGCUGAGAAUAACUUCUUGGUUCAAGUAUUGGACAGAAAAGGUGUUACUGAAUCAGGUGCUCACAAGUGCAGAGGACAUCGUAAGAGCUUAAGAAUGAGGCAGACUGGUUUGUGGUCACUAUUCCCUGACUGAAUUCAUGAUCUUAAGGAAUAUGGGCCUCGCAAAAAGCAGAUUCAGGACCCUGUACUACUCCUGUUUUCAGGGCUGGUGAGUCCGUAGUUCAUAUAUAGUUUUCAGUUUUGGGUCCCUCUUUGCAAAAAAGACAUUGAGGCACAGGUGCAUGUCCAAAUGCAGGCAACCUAGUUGCUACAAGGUCUGGAGCAUGUGUCUUAUAAGGAGUGGCUGAAGGAACUGGAAUUUUUUUUUGUGUGUGGAAAGGAGGCUCAGGGGGACUCCCAGUCUCUCUUUACACUUGCCUAAAAGGAAUUUUUAAUGAGGUAGGUGUCAACCUCUUCUGCCACAUAACUAGUGAUAGGACCAGAAUGGCCUUAAGCUGUGCCAGGGGAGGUUCAGGUCAGAUACUCAGAAACAGUUCUUAGAAAGAUUGGUAAUGAACAGGCUGUCUAGGGAGGUAGUGGAGUAACUGUGUUCAAGAAACAUGUAGAUGUGGUACUGAGGAAUAUAUUUUAGUGGGCAUGGUGAUGAUGGGUUGAUGGCUGCACUAGAUGAUUUCAGAGGCUUUUCCAUCCUUAAUGAUUUUAUGAUUCUGAGGUUCUGUGAUUCCAUGCACAAUAGAAUUUCUGCUCUGGUGCACUUACUUUCCUUUUCCUCUGACCUUGGUUUCUGCAGGUCUGUUUUUCACACCUUUUUUCUCUCAAUGCUGUCACAUGCUGCCUGGUAGUAGUUUCUUAAAUCAGCUGUGCCCUGCAGUGGGGCUGUUGGAGCCAUCUGAAAUUGGCUGUGUCCAACAUAGAGCAGGGUAGGCCUCAACUCUCAAAGGAGUCUGUCACCUCUCAGCCAGAACCAGGCACUCACACCUCAUACGUUAAUACAGGUCAGGUUUGCAUUAAAAUGCACUAGCCUAGAAGCCAAACUAUCCAUCCUUGCCAUUUACUACAUCUGAAUGACAGUAAUUUAAAACAAAAGAAAUAAAAUCAAUUAAAUACGUUUACUUAUUGAUAAA
This 2265-nucleotide long non-coding RNA is filed under the name Coturnix japonica (Japanese quail). RNAcentral describes it as "lncRNA (ENSCJPG00005009654.1)". Lineage: Eukaryota; Metazoa; Chordata; Aves; Galliformes; Phasianidae. The record is from RNAcentral.